Molecule: long non-coding RNA, 674 nt
Organism: Aphidius gifuensis
Lineage: Eukaryota; Metazoa; Arthropoda; Insecta; Hymenoptera; Braconidae
Exons: 4
Source: RefSeq, a predicted model, not a curated record
UGUUGUUUUUUUUUCUUUUCAGCUCGGCACAAUGUAGUGUAAAUUUUUUAUCCAAGAACCAAGGAUGUGACCAUAAACGUAAAUGCCAUACAGAGAACAGAUAAUUGAGCGGGAAAACUCAAUUGGGUCGCCGAGAGCAACAAGAAUGAACCAACUGGUUUUAGUGUAUAUAAUAGAUAUAUAAUAUAUAUAGAACACUCUCUUUCCAAAGUAAAAUGACCUAGAGUGUUUGAAUUUAUCACAAAGCUCUUGGACAAUACUCACAUACAUUGACGUUUACAUACAUAGAUGCAUCCAAUAUUGGAUGAGGUAGGCCAUCAUCAGGAAGUUUACCAAGACAGAGGAAGUUUGAAAAAUACUUUACCUUGAUGACUGGAUUUUUAUUUAGCUGUUGGAAAAUUAGCGAGCAUUCAGUUUUUUUAAAGAUAAAAAGCUGCUUGAAGAAAUGAAAAAAAAAAUAAAAUGUGAAGGUUGCCAAUUACAGAAGUAUCACGAAUUUCUACAGAUGCUCUCUCAUACCAUUUUACUUGGUUUUUUCUUUAUCACCAUCAUCAUCCCAGGGGCUACAUGUUCAAACCUGUAAACAUUGAGCUUAUCAAGUGGAGGAGGAGUGUCGCAUUGCCGAUAUGUUUCAAGCAUUGCAGUUGGCAUUGUGUCACGAGAUACAACUUGCU